AGAGAGCCAACACACAGGUGCUGCAUGGCUGUCGUCAGCUCGUGUCGUGAGAUGUUGGGUUAAGUCCCGCAACGAGCGCAACCCUUAUCCUUAUUUGCUACGCGAGGGCACUCUAAGGAGACUGCCGGUGACAAGCCGGAGGAAGGUGGGGAUGACGUCAAGUCCUCAUGGCCCUUACGGGUAGGGCUUCACACGUCAUACAAUGGUCGGUCCAGAGGGCAGCGACCCUGCGAAGGUGAGCCAAUCCCAGAAAGCCGAUCGUAGUCCGGAUUGCAGUCUGCAACUCGACUGCAUGAAGCUGGAAUCGCUAGUAAUCGCGGAACAGCAUGCCGCGGUGAAUACGUUCCCGGGUCUUGUACACACCGCCCGUCACACCAUGGGAGUGGGUUUUACCAGAAGUGGCUAGUUUAACCGCAAGGAAGACGGUCCCCACGGUAGG
Molecule: ribosomal RNA, 439 nt
Filed under: uncultured maize root bacterium Zmrc212
Lineage: Bacteria
Description: bacterial SSU rRNA
Rfam family: Bacterial small subunit ribosomal RNA
Source: RNAcentral